RNAcentral lists this ribosomal RNA (424 nucleotides) under uncultured Planococcus sp. RNAcentral describes it as "bacterial SSU rRNA". It matches the Rfam family "Bacterial small subunit ribosomal RNA", at positions 354 to 771 of the family's 1533-position model. The record is from RNAcentral. Lineage: Bacteria; Bacillati; Bacillota; Bacilli; Caryophanales; Caryophanaceae.
GUAGGGAAUCUUCCGCAAUGGACGAAAGUCUGACGGAGCAACGCCGCGUGAGUGAAGAAGGUUUUCGGAUCGUAAAACUCUGUUGUGAGGGAAGAACAAGUACCAAGUAACUACUGGUACCUUGACGGUACCUCACCAGAAAGCCACGGCUAACUACGUGCCAGCAGCCGCGGUAAUACGUAGGUGGCAAGCGUUGUCCGGAAUUAUUGGGCGUAAAGCGCGCGCAGGCGGUCCUUUAAGUCUGAUGUGAAAGCCCACGGCUCAACCGUGGAGGGUCAUUGGAAACUGGGGGACUUGAGUGCAGAAGAGGAAAGUGGAAUUCCACGUGUAGCGGUGAAAUGCGUAGAGAUGUGGAGGAACACCAGUGGCGAAGGCGACUUUCUGGUCUGUAACUGACGCUGAGGCGCGAAAGCGUGGGGAGCAA